This 253-nucleotide ribosomal RNA is filed under the name uncultured bacterium. RNAcentral describes it as "partial 16S ribosomal RNA". It matches the Rfam family "Bacterial small subunit ribosomal RNA", at positions 524 to 776 of the family's 1533-position model. The record is from RNAcentral.
UACGUAGGGGGCAAGCGUUGUCCGGAUUUAUUGGGCGUAAAGAGCGUGUAGGCGGCCAAACAGGUCCGCUGUGAAAACUCGAGGCUCAACCUCGAGAGGUCGGUGGAAACCGUAUGGCUAGAGUCCGGAAGAGGAGAGUGGAAUUCCCGGUGUUGCGGUGAAAUGCGCAGAUAUCGGGAAGAACACCCGUGGCGAAGGCGGCUCUCUGGGACGGUACUGACGCUGAGACGCGAAAGCGUGGGGAGCGAACAGG